Non-coding RNA from Acanthosepion pharaonis, 101 nucleotides. The record is from the annotation of a GenBank genome assembly. Lineage: Eukaryota; Metazoa; Mollusca; Cephalopoda; Sepiida; Sepiidae.
GCCGUAUCACGUUGAAACAACAGUUCUCGCAAGAUCACUGAAGUUAAGCAAAGUCAAGCCUGAUCAGUACAUAGAUGGGUGACCGUUUGGGAAUACCAGGU